UAAAAUAUCUAUACAUAUAAUAAAAUCGUAGAAAAGUGCUGUCUGUACAUUGAAAAUAAAAAUAAAAAAAAUAGCAGGGGUUAUUGUUAUGUCGAUGUCGAACCAAAAUGUAAUUAACUUUUUUUUGUCUGUUUGUCUGUUUGUCUGUUUGUCUGUUUGUCUGUUUGUCUGUUUGUCUGUUCGUCUGUGCGCGCUAAUCUCAGAAACGGCUGAUCCGAGUUGGAUGCGGUUUUCACGAAUAUAUUGUGGGAUGCUUAAAUUUACAUUUAGUGUUUGUUUCAUGUCAAUCGGUUCAUAAAUAAAAAAGUUAUGUCAAAUUAAAGAAUCACGUCGAACAUUCUAUGCUUAUACCAUUAAUCUCCGCAACUAUUUGACGGAUUUGGUUGAAAUUUGGUACAGAUAUAGUUUAGAACCUUAGAAAGGACAUAGAUAUAUUUUUAUUUCAAAAAUCAAAAAAUAAAAAUAAGAAAUAAAUUAUUUAUAAAUAAUUCUAUGUCGAUCGUUACACGACUUCGGUUCAUGUUAUUGUUUUAAUUCAUCGAAAAAAAGUAAAUAAAUAGUAAAAAGGUAUGAAAAAAAUAAUAUCAAUAUAAUUAAACUUUUAGUACAAAGAAAAUGCCCGAACGGAGUAUAAAUAAAUAAUCCAAGUUGUCUUUAUCCUCGAUAGAUGGCGUUGGGAUCGAAAUAGAUCGCGCUAUGGUUUCGUUACAUUCAUUUGGUUGGGUAUCGGCCGAGCGCUUCGGUACUAUCGUAGAAAAAGUGUAUUAUCAGUCGUAUGAUUAUUUGUCUGUAGUGGUCCUGCUGUUUCGUAUAUUCUAAAUUGGUUUCGUUGUAUUUGUCAAUUAAUAAGUUUAUUUGUUGGGUUUUCCUGGUUUUCUGGUUAAACUAUUUAACGUAGGUUUAGUUUGAUAUCGAUUAUUAGUAGUUACUGUAGUUAGUUUUUUUAAUAAAAUUGUAAGUCUAAUUUAUAAAUUAAUUAGAUUAGAUUUAAGUCGUUUCUUUUAAAUUAUUUAGUUUAAGCUUGGUUAUUAUAGCAUAAAGGAUAGGUUCUAAUAUAAUUUCUUUUUUAAUUGUUAUAAAUUCGUAAUUCGUAGCUUUCUUUAGUUUUAAGUUAGUUUUCAUCUUAAGUUCGGAAAGAUUAUAAUAUUUCUUUAGUUAAAGUCCGUUUUUAAACUAUUUUUUCAAUGCCCUAAGUGAGUAUACAUCUAUUAAAAUCAAACGCAGAGCUCAUUAUGUUGAUUUUUGAAGAGUUCCCUGGAAUAUCUUCCACAUCUCAUUUUUGAAAAGAUCCCGCGAGAUCGGGAACUCAUCAUCAUCAUCAUCAGCCUAUAGCUAUGGGAACUAUGUGGUUAAAACCAAAAUUUGCCGGAAGUCACUAUUCCACGCGAACGAAGUCGCGGGCAAAAGCUAGUUUUAAUAAAUGUUUAUUUCAAUUUUAUUUAU
RNAcentral lists this small RNA (1443 nucleotides) under Spodoptera frugiperda (fall armyworm). Its description in RNAcentral is "LNCR". The record is from RNAcentral. Lineage: Eukaryota; Metazoa; Arthropoda; Insecta; Lepidoptera; Noctuidae.